UACGGGGAAGGCAAGUGUUAUUCGUCGUUAUUGGGCGUAAAGGGUACGUAGAUUGUGUAAAUAACAUUUAAUUAAAGCCAAGAACUGUUCUUCUUGAGAAAUUAUUUGUAAAAUUUAUACUUAUUAAAAGAAAUUAAAGAGUAUUGCAUAGAUUAAUGGUAUUUUAAAGAAGAAAUGAAAUUCGAUGAUAAUAAAAGGACCACCUGUUGGCGAAAGCAAUUAAUUAGUGUUAUACUAACAUUGAGGUACAAAAGCAUGGGGAGCAAACAGGAUUAGAGACCCUGGUAGUCCAUGCUAUGACCGCUGAAUGUUCAAUAUCGAGUUUUUUUAAAUUCGGUGUUUUAGCUAACGCGUUAAACAUUCCGCCUGGGGACUACGAUC
Molecule: ribosomal RNA, 381 nt
Filed under: uncultured eukaryote
Lineage: Eukaryota
Description: mitochondrial SSU rRNA
Rfam family: Bacterial small subunit ribosomal RNA
Source: RNAcentral